UACGAAGGGGGCUAGCGUUGUUCGGAUUUACUGGGCGUAAAGCGCACGUAGGCGGAUCGUUAAGUCAGGGGUGAAAUCCUGGAGCUCAACUCCAGAACUGCCCUCGAUACUGGGAAGCUUGAGUUCGGGAGAGGUGAGUGGAACUGCGAGUGUAGAGGUGAAAUUCGUAGAUAUUCGCAAGAACACCAGUGGCGAAGGCGGCUCACUGGCCCGAUACUGACGCUGAGGUGCGAAAGCGUGGGGAGCAAACAGG
This 253-nucleotide ribosomal RNA is filed under the name uncultured bacterium. Its description in RNAcentral is "partial 16S ribosomal RNA". It matches the Rfam family "Bacterial small subunit ribosomal RNA", at positions 524 to 776 of the family's 1533-position model. The record is from RNAcentral.